This is a long non-coding RNA of Drosophila erecta, 330 nucleotides long. RefSeq lists it as uncharacterized. NCBI's taxonomy places the organism in Eukaryota, Metazoa, Arthropoda, Insecta, Diptera, Drosophilidae. The transcript is spliced from 2 exons. The record is from RefSeq and is a predicted model, not a curated record.
GAACCUUGCGGGUCGGAUCCCCUAAUUUGCACGUUUAGCUCGGUUUUCGCUAUCUGCAGCUGCCUUUUACCUACAUAUCUGCUUCCCUGGCCCCCAGUCUUCUCAUUCACUCGUAGUUUCAUGGACGCUCUGAUAUAGUGAUGAACGGAUUUGUGGGCGGAUAGAAAAUAGCUAAACAAAAUUUGGCUUGAGCAAAGAAACUUCAAUCUUAAGCCCAAUUUUAGCCUUUUCUAUCAGUCUCGAUUUUAUCAUAUUAAAUUAUCGUAUUCUGAAAUCCUUUGCUCUUAAUAUAUGGGGGAAUAAAGUUACAAAAAAGUGUCAAGUAUUAUA